AGUAAUACAUCGAAACAAAAACUAAUUAGUUGGGGAUAACUCAUCGAAAGAUGAGCUAAUACCGAAUAAGCUCUGAGGAGGAAAGUUGGGGACUGGAAACGGCCUGACGCUGAUAGAUUGGUCGAUGGUCGAUUAGCUAGUUGGUGGGGUAAAGGCUUACCAAGGCGAUGAUCGAUAGCUGUUCUGAGAGGAAGAUCAGCCACACUGGAACUGAGACACGGUCCAG
This 226-nucleotide ribosomal RNA is filed under the name uncultured bacterium. RNAcentral describes it as "partial 16S ribosomal RNA". It matches the Rfam family "Bacterial small subunit ribosomal RNA", at positions 109 to 334 of the family's 1533-position model. The record is from RNAcentral.